UGGAUAGUUCAUUUGCCCUCAUCUAUUUCAGGUGUGGAGCCAAUUAGCAGCCAUUUGCAGGAUGGCUGUGUUAGAGCUGCUGCUUUCUUCUAAACUAUGCUGCACUGGGCUUCUCCGGGGGGAAUAUUCAGGGGAAAAAGUGACGACAACGCACAGCACAACUCGGAGAUGACGAAUACCGGAGCGGCCCCGCGAAGUGCCUGUGCUGGAACGGUUUUGUUCUCUGGUUAGCAUUUAGUGAGACGGGAAUCUACGUUUCUCUUCGCCCUCUGCAUUAGGUUUCCUUGUUUACUCGGUAAUGUGGUACAUACUUCUGUUUCCAUCCCACGGAGUUGAGCUGUUCGGUGAUGUUUGCCGUUAUCUGUGAUUUUGGUGGCGUUCCUGAUGGGC
Molecule: long non-coding RNA, 390 nt
Organism: Gallus gallus (chicken)
Lineage: Eukaryota; Metazoa; Chordata; Aves; Galliformes; Phasianidae
Source: Ensembl